AAGAACAGCCAACAACUAGGCGAUUUCCAUACUUCUUAUCCCCGGUGAAGUUCGGGUUCGAAGACGGAUCUUAACAGAUCCGUCCAGGUUCGUCCUCUUUUGAUUAAAUUCCCAUCAAUAAAUUUCUUAGUUGUAACUAAUUUUUAUAUUACAUGUUUAUCUUAUGUGAGAAUCAUUAAUGCUUAAGCAAUGUCAUCUCAAGCAUGAAUCGAGUCCUUUUGGUUUGAGUUGUUUAAGUCGCGCAUGUUAUUAUAAAUUUAGUGUGAAUUUGCCUUGUUUUAAAAUUCUCUAUUAGAAUCCCAAUGAUCCUGGAAUAUUGCUUUUGUAUUCAAGAUUGGUCGUUCUUAAGUUAAUCUGUUAGGAUUUGAUGAUGGAAUUUUCUCGUUAAUUAAUAUAACUAGUGUCUAAAACAAAGUGACUAUUGGCUUAUUUGAUUAUGUAAGACUAGCAUGUAAUUUGCUUGCUUGAUUUUGCAUAAUUUUGAUUAUUUGAUGCUAAAUGAAUCCGGACAGAUUUGGCGGCUCUUGGUAAGGUAAAUUUGCUUAUUAUUAAUUUUUAAUUGAUUGUAAUAGCCUUAAUUUGAGUUGAAUGGAUCCGGUUCCUUACUUGUUUUAUUUUUUGAAUGGAGAUAAAUAUAAUAUUACUGAUCUAGUUCUUUAAAUAAAGAAAAUAUUUAAUUGAUCCCUCCCCCAUUAAUUAUUGUCCCAAACAGAUUUCCUACAUGUGAUAUCCUUGGUAAGUGAUUGAUUUUAAUUUGUUUCCUUCGCUUGUGGACUGAUUUUACUUCCUACGGAUAAGGAAUUGAUAGUGCAUUAAUUGGCCCCAAGAUUUUUCUUUUCCUUAGUUGUUUAUUCUGCCGAUUGGAGUGUAUUAAUAUAAUGAUUGUUUCCCUUGGCGUAAUUAGAAUUCAAAUAGACUUUGCUUCCCUUAUGCAUGCUAGCCGGUUCUUACUUUAUUAUUUGUAACUUUUUAUUAUUUCCUUGUCUUAUUUAGUUGCUCUUAUAAUUGGUAAUUUUAAUUAAAAUCUGAUUUGACUCUCCUUUGAAAUAAGGAAAAUGUUAUAUUAAUUAAUUCCUUAAAAUAUUUUCUUUCCUUCUAAACCAUGCCCCUCUCACUUGGUAUAUAAACUAGGCUCCCUUUCGUUGUUGAGGGUCAUCAUCCGAAUUUGUUCACAUACUAAAAUACUAAGAAAGUUAUAUUACUCUCUGCUUGAAAAGAAUCUCCGGUGAACUUCUAAAGUAUUUUGCUGUGUUCGGGUCGAAUAAGUGUGGAAACAACUUGUCUUCAUUGCUGAUUAUUCUUUAAGUGCUUAACCGGUUAGUGUCUUUCAUAUAUGUAUUUAAUUUCUUGCAUCAUUAUUUACUGACCACUAUGCAUAAAUCCAAAAAAAAAUGGAUUUGAUAAAUAAAGGAAGCAUCCGGGUCAGUGCUCUUCUCCUUUUCUAUAUGUGAUUCUAUGUGUGACUGUAUCUGUGUAAUUUGUUGCUCCCAAAAAAUAAUGUGUAUGUUUUAUUCUGCCUAAGUGUAAAUGGAUGUUAUUAUGUAUUGUUUGGUAUUAUUUGUAGCAUAUCGCUUCUUUUAAUUAGCAGGGCAUUGAGAGCGUUGAAUUAAUUGAAGAGUCGCCGGGGGAUAGAUUUUCGGAGCAAAACUAUUCUGUUUUAAGUUUAUUUAUUGUUUAAGUUAUGUAUUCAUUGUUCCGUAAUAAUUUUGUUGUGUAACUCUAAAGCUCUCUAUAUAUAUGAAAUAUAUUUGGGGGAUCGCCUAAUUGGGGGAGGGGGAUUUAUGUGCUAAUUGCUUUACUUAUGUUGAGUCUAUUUGUGUCGUGAUAAUAACUGGCCCAUAAAACUGUUUUAAUAUGUUAGAUUAAAACAUACUUUAUCACAUGCUAAAUAACUAAUGGAAUAAAUAUGCUACUUGCCUUAUUAACGCCUUAGACUAUUAUGCAAGCACGCUAGAAAAUAUUAAAUGAAUGAAUCGCAAAAUUAAUCUCAUUCAUUAACUCUGUUGAAAUCACUUACCUUCGAAUCAAUUUGUUAAUAUUUCAUUGUUGUUUAUAUCCUAUUGUCUAACCUAAUUUAACAAAUCUCGUAUGUGAGCAUGUAAUUAAGCCCGUC
This 2113-nucleotide long non-coding RNA is filed under the name Solanum tuberosum (potato). Its description in RNAcentral is "long non-coding RNA (STUB_LNC011182)". The record is from RNAcentral. Lineage: Eukaryota; Viridiplantae; Streptophyta; Magnoliopsida; Solanales; Solanaceae.